Non-coding RNA from Triticum aestivum (bread wheat), 120 nucleotides. The record is from Rfam. NCBI's taxonomy places the organism in Eukaryota, Viridiplantae, Streptophyta, Magnoliopsida, Poales, Poaceae.
AAUGUACUCCCUCCGUCCGAAAAAGUUUGUCCCUCGAAUGGAUGUAUCUAGGACUAAGUUAGUGCUAGAUACAUCCAAUCCAUUUGAGGGAAAAGUUUUUCCGGACAGAGGGAGUAUGAU